This 854-nucleotide long non-coding RNA is filed under the name Olea europaea subsp. europaea. The record is from RNAcentral. Lineage: Eukaryota; Viridiplantae; Streptophyta; Magnoliopsida; Lamiales; Oleaceae.
UAGAUCCAUUGGCAAUUCUCAUGAUAAAUAUUAGUGGUUAGAGCUGAAGACACGGACAUGAAAAUGUUUUUUUCAUUUAGAUCAAAUGCGUCUAACAGCAAAAAUAUUAAUCAAGUCUCACCACCAUCAACAAAUAAGGAAGUCUACUAGGAGAAACCAGCAGAAAGUAUUGACGAUUCCAGAAAAGAAAAAAUAUGGCUCAGAAAAUCAGGUUACUGUUCCUCGUCUUGUAAGAAACCUUUAAUGCUCAUCUGGAUCACUAAAAUAAGAAAAUUUUGCGAUCAAGGUUGCUCUCCUUGCAGUAUCAAUAAUUCAUACGGGUAAUCUCGUCAACAUUCCACUCAGUAAGCAAUACAUCAUUCAAAAAACUAUACAAUAUAUGCUUUGGAAAAAAAUCAUCCAUACAGAAAAUGCUUUUUUGCACCUCGAGGAUAAAUUUGGAUGGUUAGAUGCAAGCAUUAUAGGGAAUGCAGUAGAAACAUUACUGCAAAUUUUUGCCAGUGACAUAAUGAACCAUUUGAGAAAGGUAAAACCCAGGUUAUAACAUCCUUCAACAUUAAUUUCUUCAAUGUACCAUCAUUUACUAUUCAAACACAUUUGUUCUUGUUACGUGUCAAUACACUUGGCUGACCCACUGGGGCUCAUGGCCCACACAUGCCGAAUCACGUGGCAUCUCAGUCGAAGCCUCUAAGCCAAUGAAGAUUGACCAACACCAACAAACAGCUCCUAUGACGUGGCCCAGAUUUUGUAUGCCAAAGUGCAGUAAGAGGUGAUGUACAUAACCGAGGCUCUUCAUAUCGAGGCCCAUUAUACCAAAGCCGAAGCCCAAGACAACUGGCACCACUUCUCUCCAG